Molecule: long non-coding RNA, 3221 nt
Filed under: Mus musculus (house mouse)
Lineage: Eukaryota; Metazoa; Chordata; Mammalia; Rodentia; Muridae
Description: long non-coding RNA chr11:32647559-32650780
Source: RNAcentral
AUUGUUCAGGUAAAUUAUUGUUUGUCUUUCUCUUUUCUUUGUGGUUCAGUUUUUUUCCCGCUCCCUUCCUGUCUUUGGCUUUGUGAGGCAGGUAGGAUUGUGUAGUGAGUCUCCAGCCGUUGGGUGUCUGCACUCACCCCUCACUGCUCACCACAUGUGCAGAAAUGGAUGCGGGUUUCAGAUGAAAUAAACCACACGUGUUUAUAGACUCUGACCUAGAGAGACUGUGGCCCAAAUAGUUAAUCUGCCUGAGAAUUUGCCAUAGGUUGACGUCCUUCAGACUUGACAAGGAUGGCCCUGACUGCUGCAGUCUGUCCUUUAAGUAGAGAGCUAGCUCAGGAUAUUCCCUAGUCCACGGACACAGAAUCCUGGACCCAUACACAUGAGUGUUUGGGUAGUGCUAUUGGAGCAUCUAUAAGGACUCUGGGAUCCUCGGGGGGCGGGGGGCACGACACGCAUCUCCAGGCCUGCUGACUCUGCUUUCCAUCCCUCUUCAGUUCUCCCUCCUGCUACUUUCUUGCCUUCUUUGAACCUGCCUCGCUGAUCUUUCUUCCCACUUUCUUUUUUGUGCUCCAUCGAGAGUUGGGGGACCAUGUUCCUGCAUACUCUUGUCAGUACUGGUAUAAACUGCCUUGAGUACAUUUAUUGAAGGCUGCUGUUUACUAAAGGUUUCCAUCCAUCUAUUCUACAUAUGCUGAUAAACCUCUAUAAGCCCAAGAAAUAUAAUGGAAGCCACCCUUUGAUGUCAGUUUGUGUGGUAAUGGUGGUGGUGGUGGUAGAUAACAUCUUGUUUAGUUUCGUAGCACUACCUCUGUGGAAUAAUCCUUAAAUGAAUCCUGACAUUUGAAUUAUCUGGUUGUACUUAGCAUAGUCUGUGAUUAUACUGUAGUUACCUGUUUGUGUUCCCCAUUAGAUGAUAAGAUCUUCAUAGGAGGAGAUGAGACCUUCUUCCCUUCCUCUGGCCACAGCUCCUUCACAUACACAGUGUGCUCUUGUAAUAUAUGUUCAUUUAGUAAUGGACUACUUUCUGUAUCUUGGCUAUCUUUAUGUCUGUGAAACUUCAUCUGUUUCUUUCUUUUUAAAUUAACUUUAUGCAUGUAUGUAUGUAUGUAUGUAUGUAUGUAUGUAUGUAUUUAUUUAAUAUAUGAGUACUCAGACACACCAGAAAAGGGCAUCGGAUCCCAUUACAGACGGUUGUGAGCCACCAUGUGGAUACUGGGAAUUGAACUCAGGACCUCUAGAAGAGCAGUCAGUGCUCUUAAUUGCUGAGCCAUCUCUCCUGUGCACUUCACCUGUUUCUAAUGCUCAUAAUAAUCUUAACUUUUAUGGAACCUUAACCUCAUUGACUGAAUUACCCAGAAUUGCAUUUGGGUCCAACACCAGUGUCAGAAGCUGCAGCCAGUGAUCUUUCACCGUGUGCCAAGUGUGUGCUGCUCAAUGGCUUGGCUAUCUAUUAAUUUAAUGUUAGGGUGUUUUCUCCCCCCCCCUCUUGUUUUUGUUUUUGUUUUUGUUUUUGAGACACGGUUUCUCUGUGUAGCCCUUGCCUUUCUGGGAUUUGCUCUGUAGCUGGCUAGGCUGGCCUUGAACUCACAGAAAUCCAUCUGCCUUUGCCUUCCACUGAUCACUGGGAUUAAAGACCAUUGCUGAGGCUUUGUCUUUUUAAAAUACCAUCCUUUAAAGAUUUUCUUUCAGUGAGUUUAGCACAAAGGUGUACGUAGAAGAAAAAGACUGAUGAGGGAAAUGGAAGGUGGUGUGUAGCACAUGUGACGUGUAUAAACAUUCUGUCAUCAUGGAUGCAUAUAUUGACAUAUGCAUCCUAGACCUUCUAGCAAGUAAGAACUGAGGAAGCUAUUCUCCUUUUAUAUAUGUUGGUGAGAAUAGUUGGUAAGCUACAAGGGUUUCCUGACCUUAGAAAUCAUGCUUAACUAGCAGAAAGGGCAUGGCAGUGGGGCAAGACACCUGAUUUUCUGUCAAAGCUCUACACUCGUUAUGUGACCUUAAAGGAAGCCUAAUCAGGCUGCUUAGCUGUACAUAUGGAUACCUGGAGAGCCUUCUAAAUUAUGGGGAAGGCUUCAAGAGACAUGUAUAUGAAAGGACUUCACAGUGGGGGGCAACCUUACUAACUCUACCUCCAAGUGCAGAGACCCUUUUUAAUUUUAGUAUUGGAGACCAUUGCUAAGUUGUCCAGGCUGUAUCAGUCUCCCGAGUACUAGGGUUACAGGCAUGUACCACCACACCUGGCUGAUGCUUCUUUUAAAAAACAUUUUAUUAUUGUGUAUGCAUAAGCAUGAGGUGUAUAUGUGUGAGUAUGUGUAUUCGUGUGCGUGCGCAUGCAUGUGCUUAUGUGAGUGAACUCACUAUGUAACUCAGGCUGGCCUCAAACUUGAUGUUCUCCCUCACCCACCCACCCAGGUUGCUUGGAUUAUAGGUAUGUGCCACCAUAGCAAGCCUUCAGGGACCUGCAUUUUAUAAAGCAAAAUCAGCACAGAUGGUGUGGGAAAAGUUAACUUUUUUCCUCAUGAGUUUUGCAUAUGUUUAUUUGUAAAGCUAUUUGCAUGUAUAUACAUUUAUUUUUAGAGGCCUAACAUUCAGUUGCUUUUAGCCCAUAGAUAUGUGAGUCAUUCUUUGAGGGACAUGGUACAAUGUAUUUGGAAAAUAUGGGCAGUAUUAUGAUGUUUAGUCUGAUCAGACCUUUGUAGCUAUAGAGAGAACCUCUGCUUCCACCCCAGCCCUGGGUUGGGUGUCCCAGUAGAAUGAGACUGGCAGUUAAUGUGUGUGAUCAUUGAAUAUUCUGAUUAAUGUUUCAUUGUUUUAGGGUGUUCUGUGAGAAGAAGAUUUUUGAUUCUUGGCAAAGCUGGUGGUUUUAACCAUUAAUUGAAUAAACCAUGUUUCCUUCUAGGUUGGAUUGUUGUUUAUUGAAUUAGUUGACAGUGGGGGAAAACCUGUUGGUCAAGAAUGAGUUCCCCUCUGUUAAGUUUCUGCUUCAUCACAAUUGCUUAACAGGAAGUUUGUCUUUGUAGGCAAAUGAGAGACAGACUAGGAAGACCUGACAAUCCAGUUGCUGUGUCUAACCUUGGCCUUACUGUUUUAACAAAUGUUAACUUUUGUGUAGGGUUUUGUGAUGUCAGCAGGAAGAUUGCUUAGGAAAUUCCCUCUAAUGGCUAGGCAACAUAAAGGCUUCACAGGCCAGAGUGUAGUGAGGUAGAAGUUGGGACAUUAUC